GACGAACGCUGGCGGCGUGCCUAAUACAUGCAAGUUGAGCGCUGAAGGUUGGUACUUGUACCCACUGGAUGAGCAGCGAACGGGUGAGUAACGCGUGGGGAAUCUGCCUUUGAGCGGGGGACAACAUUUGGAAACGAAUGCUAAUACCGCAUAAAAACUUUAAACACAAGUUUUAAGUUUGAAAGAUGCAAUUGCAUCACUCAAAGAUGAUCCCGCGUUGUAUUAGCUAGUUGGUGAGGUAAAGGCUCACCAAGGCGAUGAUACAUAGCCGACCUGAGAGGGUGAUCGGCCACAUUGGGACUGAGACACGGCCCAAACUCCUACGGGAGGCAGCAGUAGGGAAUCUUCGGCAAUGGACGAAAGUCUGACCGAGCAACGCCGCGUGAGUGAAGAAGGGUUUCGGAUCGUAAAACUCUGUUGGUAGAGAAGAACGUUGGUGAGAGUGGAAAGCUCAUCAAGUGACGGUAACUACACAGAAAGGGACGGCUAACUACGUG
RNAcentral lists this ribosomal RNA (497 nucleotides) under uncultured bacterium. RNAcentral describes it as "partial 16S ribosomal RNA". It matches the Rfam family "Bacterial small subunit ribosomal RNA", at positions 28 to 507 of the family's 1533-position model. The record is from RNAcentral.